Molecule: long non-coding RNA, 238 nt
Filed under: Zostera marina
Lineage: Eukaryota; Viridiplantae; Streptophyta; Magnoliopsida; Alismatales; Zosteraceae
Description: long non-coding RNA (ZMAR_LNC003545)
Source: RNAcentral
UUGUCGCUUUGGCCUUGAUGCGGAUCACCUUGCUUGGGGGGGGGAUACUGGCGGUACACGGGUGUUCAGCCAUACUCUCUUCAGGGGGGAGUACUGGUGAGACAUGCCUGAUUACGUCAGUCACUCCCAGCAACGCCCUUCAAACAAGGAAUAGGGUUCCGUCGCUAUAUGCCGGACCCCCGGAAAGGCUUCCACGGUGCGGAGCACGUGUCUACGUCAAAAGCCCAAGUUAACACUU